Poecile atricapillus (Black-capped chickadee) is the source of this 460-nucleotide long non-coding RNA. RefSeq lists it as uncharacterized. The transcript is spliced from 3 exons. The record is from RefSeq and is a predicted model, not a curated record. NCBI's taxonomy places the organism in Eukaryota, Metazoa, Chordata, Aves, Passeriformes, Paridae.
AGAGCAGACUCUGCUGUGGCUCCCUCUGCUCCUGGAGAAGAGGCCAAAGAGGAGCAAAAUGAGCAAAAGGAGCACGAGCCUCCAGCUGUGGUCACAGCCCAGCCUGACCAUCCCCAGACAGUCCUUCCAGAGAAAGAGCAGGAGCAGAUUGUUUUAUCAGGGAGGCCGUGCCAGACUGAGGGAGAGCUGUUCCCAGCCCAAGAGCAGGAAGAGCAGCUGGGGCAGCAGGUGGAAGAGCCACUGGAGAAUGGCCAGAACAUCAAGGCAGAGCCCCAAGCAGAGCUGCCCGAAGCUCAGAGGGCCAUCAUGGCAGUGAAGAGGAGGCACGAGGAAGACAGGAGAAGCAUCCAGGAGGAGAUGAAUCUCCAUUGGCAGCGAGGAAAUCAACAAAACCAGGUGAGUGAAAGAGUGGCAGACACUCCACUCAUGGAAAUUCCUCUCUCUGGUUCCUCACAGGCCU